CAAGCCACUGCCACAGAGAAUUCAAGAACAUGCUGAGUGACAUCCAAAAUUGGAUUUCAGAAAGUCUUAAAGUCUUCAGUAGCCGCACAUACUAUAACAUCUGAACCUUUUUUCCCGAUGUGUAAUUCAGUGUCACAUGAUUAAAACGAGACCCUGUUGCAAAGUCGCUAUCACUGUAUGUUUCAUGAUCUUCAUGUUCUGAGUCUGAGUGAGAUGAUGAGCUAUCACUCGAGUCAAGGGAAGUUUUGUACAACUCAAGAAUAUCACAUCUACAUUCAUUACAUGGGGUAUUGCAUGUCCAUGAGUCUCUGCAGUCACAGAGACACUUGCAAGAUAUGGCACAGUUGUCCAUAGCACUCAUGACUUCAGUAAGCUCAACUCGUCGACAUACGUUGGUUCUGACAUACUGUUUCAUUUCAUCCGAAAUAUUCCGCCUGCCACUGAGACAUUGUCUAAAUUUCAUGAGAAGAGCAUGUGCCUGCUUUUCUGGAUCCCUGCCUGCUCCGUCCUUGUCUCUUGAAUAUAAUCCUCAACAUUAUUGGCUGGACCAUAGUGGAUGACGGUUUCCACACUUUCUUAGCAUUGUGUAUACACAACGUAAUUAACGGAUUCUGACAUCAGCCACAUAUCUCGGACCACCCCACGAGUCUCUCUUAACCGUUCAAUUAACGUUCCGCUUGGUGUUGCCACACCUGUCCGCCAUCUGCUGUUGAGAUACUGUAACGGUUCUCGUCUGAAAAGAGGACUUCUCCCACUGCUGGUGCUGUGCUACCCUCUGAAGACGGUCCAGGAAACAAAGAAGAAGACUGAAAGGAUACCACUGGGAGUGCUUCAGUGAGGACCUCAGUGACCGUUCUCCAUCACAGUAGGUGCUCAGCGGAGGGGACUACCUCACCCUUGAGAGGCAGAAACAAGCCAAUCAUGCACUUACGAGAUGGACCUACACCAAGUUCCAGAUUACAAGGACUUGUUCCAAAGAUGGAAGAGUUCCAUAACGAAGCUGAAUUUCUAAAGGUUAUAUGGAAACACUUGUACUCGUCCUCCUCUAACAAGUCUGUUUGGCACUCUGCAUGCUGCAAAGGAGCACAAUAAAUGCGGUGAAUGUUACUCAGGAUCCUCAUGACAACUUUUACCCAUGCUCUGAAUUCAUGGACAAGGUCACCACCGCCUACAUCGUAACUGGGGGACUACAUUACUUCCAAAUGGAACACCUCACUUCUGUCCCAACGUCAAGUUACAUGGGUGCUGUUGGCAAUCCAUAUAAAAUGAUUGAUUAUUUUCUAGGUCAUGCAGCAAAACAGUUUGUAGACAAGCACGUCUUACCGGAGGUUCCUCAACAGCCAGGUCAUGGUCUCCAAAUCAAACACACUAGCCUGCAGGUACUGUGGAAAACUGUACCAGAGACCAAAAGCUCUCCGCAAACACGAAGCAUCCGGAAUAUAAUGCUGAAAACAAUCAGGAUUCCACAUCUUCAGCAGAAUCAAGAUCAUCUAUUUAUCAGUACACCCGUCUGUCGCUCAUGCUUGGGCUUCUUCGAAUAAAUCACAACGAUUCCAUUCACAUGGGAGAUGGUGGCAGGCAUGAUGAGACUAGUAAAGUGGUUCUGUUUAUAAGGCAAGCAAAUGUCUCCUUUGAAACACAGGCAAAGGCAUAUGCUCUCCUAUAUGAACGGCAGGCUUUAUAGAUU
This 1687-nucleotide long non-coding RNA is filed under the name Haliotis rufescens (red abalone). RNAcentral describes it as "uncharacterized LOC125378542, transcript variant X1". Lineage: Eukaryota; Metazoa; Mollusca; Gastropoda; Lepetellida; Haliotidae. The record is from RNAcentral.